GGGUUGUGAGGUUAAGCGACUAAGCGUACACGGUGGAUGCCCUGGCAGUCAGAGGCGAUGAAGGACGUGCUAAUCUGCGAAAAGCGUCGGUAAGGUGAUAUGAACCGUUAUAACCGGCGAUGUCCGAAUGGGGAAACCCAGUGCAAUUCGUUGCACUAUCGUUAACUGAAUACAUAGGUUAACGAGGCGAACCGGGGGAACUGAAACAUCUAAGUACCCCGAGGAAAAGAAAUCAACCGAGAUUCCCCCAGUAGCGGCGAGCGAACGGGGAGCAGCCCAGAGUCUGAAUCAGCUUGUGUGUUAGUGGAACGGUCUGGAAAGUCCGACGGUACAGGGUGAUAGUCCCGUACACCAAAAUGCACAGGCUGUGAACUCGAAGAGUAGGGCGGGACACGUGGUAUCCUGUCUGAAUAUGGGGGGACCAUCCUCCAAGGCUAAAUACUCCUGACUGACCGAUAGUGAACCAGUACCGUGAGGGAAAGGCGAAAAGAACCCCGGCGAGGGGAGUGAAAAAGAACCUGAAACCGUGUACGUACAAGCAGUGGGAGCACCUUCGGGUGUGACUGCGUACCUUUUGUAUAAUGGGUCAGCGACUUAUAUUCUGUAGCAAGGUUAACCGUAUAGGGGAGCCGCAGGGAAACCGAGUCUUAACUGGGCGUUAAGUUGCAGGGUAUAGACCCGAAACCCGGUGAUCUAGCCAUGGGCAGGUUGAAGGUUGGGUAACACUAACUGGAGGACCGAACCGACUAAUGUUGAAAAAUUAGCGGAUGACUUGUGGCUGGGGGUGAAAGGCCAAUCAAACCGGGAGAUAGCUGGUUCUCCCCGAAAGCUAUUUAGGUAGCGCCUCGUGAACUCAUCUUCGGGGGUAGAGCACUGUUUCGGCUAGGGGGUCAUCCCGACUUACCAACCCGAUGCAAACUACGAAUACCGAAGAAUGUUAUCACGGGAGACACACGGCGGGUGCUAACGUCCGUCGUGAAGAGGGAAACAACCCAGACCGCCAGCUAAGGUCCCAAAGUCAUGGUUAAGUGGGAAACGAUGUGGGAAGGCACAGACAGCCAGGAUGUUGGCUUAGAAGCAGCCAUCAUUUAAAGAAAGCGUAAUAGCUCACUGGUCGAGUCGGCCUGCGCGGAAGAUGUAACGGGGCUAAACCAUGCACCGAAGCUGCGGCAGCGACACUAUGUGUUGUUGGGUAGGGGAGCGUUCUGUAAGCCUGCGAAGGUGUGCUGUGAGGCAUGCUGGAGGUAUCAGAAGUGCGAAUGCUGACAUAAGUAACGAUAAAGCGGGUGAAAAGCCCGCUCGCCGGAAGACCAAGGGUUCCUGUCCAACGUUAAUCGGGGCAGGGUGAGUCGACCCCUAAGGCGAGGCCGAAAGGCGUAGUCGAUGGGAAACAGGUUAAUAUUCCUGUACUUGGUGUUACUGCGAAGGGGGGACGGAGAAGGCUAUGUUAGCCGGGCGACGGUUGUCCCGGUUUAAGCAUGUAGGCUGAUUGUCCAGGCAAAUCCGGAUAAUCAAGGCUGAGGUGUGAUGACGAGGCACUACGGUGCUGAAGUAACAAAUGCCCUGCUUCCAGGAAAAGCCUCUAAGCAUCAGGUAACAUCAAAUCGUACCCCAAACCGACACAGGUGGUCAGGUAGAGAAUACCAAGGCGCUUGAGAGAACUCGGGUGAAGGAACUAGGCAAAAUGGUGCCGUAACUUCGGGAGAAGGCACGCUGGUGUGUAGGUGAAGUCCCUGCGGAUGGAGCUGAGACCAGUCGAAGAUACCAGCUGGCUGCAACUGUUUAUUAAAAACACAGCACUGUGCAAACACGAAAGUGGACGUAUACGGUGUGACGCCUGCCCGGUGCCGGAAGGUUAAUUGAUGGGGUUAUCCGUAAGGAGAAGCUCUUGAUCGAAGCCCCGGUAAACGGCGGCCGUAACUAUAACGGUCCUAAGGUAGCGAAAUUCCUUGUCGGGUAAGUUCCGACCUGCACGAAUGGCGUAAUGAUGGCCAGGCUGUCUCCACCCGAGACUCAGUGAAAUUGAACUCGCUGUGAAGAUGCAGUGUACCCGCGGCAAGACGGAAAGACCCCGUGAACCUUUACUAUAGCUUGACACUGAACAUUGAGCCUUGAUGUGUAGGAUAGGUGGGAGGCUUUGAAGCGUGGACGCCAGUCUGCGUGGAGCCAACCUUGAAAUACCACCCUUUAAUGUUUGAUGUUCUAACGUUGGCCCCUGACCGGGGUUGCGGACAGUGUCUGGUGGGUAGUUUGACUGGGGCGGUCUCCUCCCAAAGCGUAACGGAGGAGCACGAAGGUUAGCUAAUCCUGGUCGGACAUCAGGAGGUUAGUGCAAUGGCAUAAGCUAGCUUGACUGCGAGCGUGACGGCGCGAGCAGGUGCGAAAGCAGGUCAUAGUGAUCCGGUGGUUCUGAAUGGAAGGGCCAUCGCUCAACGGAUAAAAGGUACUCCGGGGAUAACAGGCUGAUACCGCCCAAGAGUUCAUAUCGACGGCGGUGUUUGGCACCUCGAUGUCGGCUCAUCACAUCCUGGGGCUGAAGUAGGUCCCAAGGGUAUGGCUGUUCGCCAUUUAAAGUGGUACGCGAGCUGGGUUUAGAACGUCGUGAGACAGUUCGGUCCCUAUCUGCCGUGGGCGCUGGAGAAUUGAGGGGGGCUGCUCCUAGUACGAGAGGACCGGAGUGGACGCAUCACUGGUGUUCGGGUUGUCAUGCCAAUGGCACUGCCCGGUAGCUAAAUGCGGAAGAGAUAAGUGCUGAAAGCAUCUAAGCACGAAACUUGCCCCGAGAUGAGUUCUCCCUGAGACU
RNAcentral lists this ribosomal RNA (2803 nucleotides) under Klebsiella pneumoniae. RNAcentral describes it as "bacterial LSU rRNA". It matches the Rfam family "Bacterial large subunit ribosomal RNA". The record is from RNAcentral. RNAcentral also lists the same sequence under 1 other name. Lineage: Bacteria; Pseudomonadati; Pseudomonadota; Gammaproteobacteria; Enterobacterales; Enterobacteriaceae.